GUGCCAGACUCCUACGGGAGGCAGCAGUGAGGAAUAUUGGUCAAUGGGCGCGAGCCUGAACCAGCCAAGUCGCGUGAGGGAGGACGGCCCUACGGGUUGUAAACCUCUUUUGCCGGGGAGCAACGGGCGUCACGUGUGGCGCCACUGAGAGUACCCGGAGAAAAAGCAUCGGCUAACUCCGUGCCAGCAGCCGCGGUAAUACGGAGGAUGCGAGCGUUAUCCGGAUUUAUUGGGUUUAAAGGGUGCGCAGGCGGCGUGUUAAGUCAGCGGUAAAAGCCCGGGGCUCAACCCCGGCGAGCCGUUGAAACUGGCGGGCUGGAGUUGGAGAGAAGUACGCGGAAUGCGCGGUGUAGCGGUGAAAUGCUUAGAUAUCGCGCAGAACCCCGAUUGCGAAGGCAGCGUACCGGCUCCACACUGACGCUGAGGCACGAAAGCGUGGGUAUCGAACAGGAUUAGAUACCCCCGUAAUU
RNAcentral lists this ribosomal RNA (470 nucleotides) under uncultured bacterium. RNAcentral's name for it is "bacterial SSU rRNA". It matches the Rfam family "Bacterial small subunit ribosomal RNA", at positions 328 to 795 of the family's 1533-position model. The record is from RNAcentral.